UUUAGGAACUGCUGGAAGGCUCUAGGGGAAUAAAGAUGGAAUGACUUCUAAUUUUUAGGUCCGUAUGAUCUGAAAUACUUGCACACAAACCUCGAGAAAGCAUUCCUGGAAAUCUCGGCCCAAAAAAGGACGUUUAGUAAUUCUAAAAGGGACUACAAGAUGAAAAACAAUAGUUUUGCCAGUUAAAGUUUGAGAUUCGAUGGUGCCGUAGAUCCGUUUGGUCAUCAGGUGUUACGAGCCACACCCAUGUCUAGCUAGAAUAGUGUGUCAGGCUCAGGCUAGAGAAGAAACAGGGUACAAACUGAUGAAAGAAUUAUCAUACCGAGGGAAUUCACUCAGAACUAACAAGAAUGAUAACGUGCUCCGACUGGAGCGGUUUAGGAACUGCUGGAAACCUCUAGGGGAAUAAAGAUGGAAUGACUUCUAAUUUUUAGGUCCGUAUGGUUUGAAAUACUUGCACACAAACCGCCCGAAAGCAUUCCUAGAAAUCUCGGCCCAAAAAAUGACGUUUAGUAAUUCUAAAUGGGAAUACAAGAUGAAAAACAAUAGUUUUGGCAGUUAAAGUUUGAGAUUCGAUGGUGUCGUAGAUCCAUUUGGUCAUCAGGUGUUACGAGCCACACCCAUGUCUAGCUAGAAUAGUGUGUCAGGCUCAGGCUAGAGAAGAAACGGGGAACAAACUGAUGAAAGAAUUAUCAUAACGAGGGAAUUCACUCAGAACUAACAAGAAUGAUAACGUGCUCCGACUGGAGCGGUUUAGGAACUU
RNAcentral lists this long non-coding RNA (763 nucleotides) under Triticum aestivum (bread wheat). RNAcentral describes it as "long non-coding RNA (TAES_LNC017172)". Lineage: Eukaryota; Viridiplantae; Streptophyta; Magnoliopsida; Poales; Poaceae. The record is from RNAcentral.